Molecule: ribosomal RNA, 484 nt
Filed under: uncultured bacterium
Lineage: Bacteria
Description: partial 16S ribosomal RNA
Rfam family: Bacterial small subunit ribosomal RNA
Source: RNAcentral
AGUGAACGCUGGCGGCAGGCCUAACACAUGCAAGUCGAGCGGAUGAAGGGAGCUUGCUCCUUGAUUCAGCGGCGGACGGGUGAGUAAGUCCUAGGAAUCUGCCUGGUAGUGGUUGAUAACGUCCGGAAACGGGCGCUAAUACCGCAUACGUCCUGAGGGAGUAAGGGGGGGAUCUUCGGACCUCACGCUAUCAGAUGAGCCUAGGUCGGAUUAGCUAGUUGGUGGGGUAAAGGCCUACCAAGGCGACGAUCCGUAACUGGUCUGAGAGGAUGAUCAGUCACACUGGAACUGAGACACGGUCCAGACUCCUACGGGAGGCAGCAGUGGGGAAUAUUGGACAAUGGGCGAAAGCCUGAUCCAGCCAUGCCGCGUGUGUGAAGAAGGUCUUCGGAUUGUAAAGCCCUUUAAGUUGGGAGGAAGGGCAGUAAGUUAAUACCUUGCUGUUUUGACGUUACCAACAGAAUAAGCACCGGCUAACUUCGUG